AUUGAACGCUGGCGGCAGACCUAACACAUGCAAGUCGAGCGAGCGGCGGACGGGUGAGUAAUGUAUGGGGCUCUGCCCGAUAGAGGGGGAUAACUACUGGCACCUGUGGCUAAUACCGCAUACUCACGGAUCACCCCAUAUGGGAUUAGCUAGUAGGUGGGGUAAAGGCUCACCUAGGCGACGAUCUCUAGCUGGUCUGAUAGGAUGAUCAGCAACACUGGGACUGAGACACGGCCCAGAAUCCUACGGGAGGCAGAAGUGGGGAAUAUUGCACAAUGGGCGCAAGCCUGAUGCAGCCAUGCCGCGGGUAUGAAGAAGGCCUUAGGGUUGUAAAGUACUUUCAGCGGGGAGGCGUUACCGGCAGAAGAAGCAACGGCUAACUCCGUGCCAGCAGCCGCGGUAAUAC
RNAcentral lists this ribosomal RNA (406 nucleotides) under uncultured bacterium. Its description in RNAcentral is "partial 16S ribosomal RNA". It matches the Rfam family "Bacterial small subunit ribosomal RNA", at positions 30 to 526 of the family's 1533-position model. The record is from RNAcentral.